RNAcentral lists this unclassified non-coding RNA (163 nucleotides) under uncultured Meliniomyces. RNAcentral's name for it is "sequence contains ITS1". The record is from RNAcentral. Lineage: Eukaryota; Fungi; Ascomycota; Leotiomycetes; Helotiales; Helotiaceae.
AAGAAUCGCCCCGUUUUUUGAAAUGGGUUCUAUUCCCAAACCGUGUAUACAUACCUUUGUUGCUUUGGCAGGCCGCCUUUUAGGCGUCGGCUUCGGCUGACUGCGCCUGCCAGAGGACCCAAACUCGUUUGUUUAGUGAUGUCUGAGUACUAUAUAAUAGUUA